AGUGAACGCUGGCGGUAGGCCUAACACAUGCAAGUCGAACGGCAGCACAGUAAGAGCUUGCUCUUACGGGUGGCGAGUGGCGGACGGGUGAGGAAUACAUCGGAAUCUACUUUUUCGUGGGGGAUAACGUAGGGAGACUUACGCUCAUACAGCAUACGAUCUACGGGUGAAAGCAGGGGAACUUCGGACCUUGCGCGAUUGAAUGAGCCGCUGUUGGAUUAGCUAGUUGGGCGGGUAAAGGCCCACCCAGUCGACGAUCGGUAGCUGGUCUGGGAGGAUGGUCAGCCACAUGGGAACGUAGACACGGUCCAGACUCCUACGGUAGGCAGCAGUGGGGAAUAUGGGACAAUGGGGGCAAGCCUGAUCCAGCCAUACCGCGUGGGUGAAGAAGGCCUUCGGGUUGUAAAGCCCUUUUGUUGGGAAAGAAAAGCAGCAGGUUAAUACCCCGCUGUUCUGACGGUACCCAAAGAAUAAGCACCGGCUAACUUCGUG
Molecule: ribosomal RNA, 492 nt
Filed under: uncultured bacterium
Lineage: Bacteria
Description: partial 16S ribosomal RNA
Rfam family: Bacterial small subunit ribosomal RNA
Source: RNAcentral